Molecule: ribosomal RNA, 372 nt
Filed under: uncultured organism
Description: bacterial SSU rRNA
Rfam family: Bacterial small subunit ribosomal RNA
Source: RNAcentral
CAGAGGGUGCGAGCGUUAAUCGGAAUUACUGGGCGUAAAGCGUGCGUAGACGGUUAUUUAAGUCGGAUGUGAAAGCCCCCGGGCUCAACCUGGGAAUUGCAUUCGAGACUGAAUAGCUAGGGUACGGUAGAGGGAAGUGGAAUUUCCGGUGUAGCGGUGAAAUGCGUAGAUAUCGGAAGGAACAUCAGUGGCGAAAGCGACUUCCUGGACCAGUACCGACGUUCAGGCACGAAAGCGUGGGGAGCAAACAGGAUUAGAUACCCUGGUAGUCCACGCCAUAAACGAUGAGGACUAGACGUUGGAGGGGUAAGCCUUUCAGUGUCGUAGCUAACGCGCUAAGUCCUCCGCCUGGGGAGUACGGCCGCAAGGUUG